RNAcentral lists this ribosomal RNA (253 nucleotides) under uncultured bacterium. RNAcentral describes it as "partial 16S ribosomal RNA". It matches the Rfam family "Bacterial small subunit ribosomal RNA", at positions 524 to 776 of the family's 1533-position model. The record is from RNAcentral.
UACGGAGGGAGCUAGCGUUGUUCGGAAUUACUGGGCGUAAAGCGCACGUAGGCGGCUUUGUAAGUUAGAGGUGAAAGCCCGGGGCUCAACCCCGGAAUUGCCUUUAAGACUGCAUCGCUUGAAUCCGGGAGAGGGUAGUGGAAUUCCCAGUGUAGCGGUGAAAUGCGUAGAUAUUGGGAGGAACACCAGUGGCGAAGGCGGCUCACUGGACCGGAACUGACGCUGAGGCACGAAAGCGUGGGGAGCAAACAGG